RNAcentral lists this ribosomal RNA (628 nucleotides) under Lysinibacillus sp. E101. Its description in RNAcentral is "bacterial SSU rRNA". It matches the Rfam family "Bacterial small subunit ribosomal RNA", at positions 35 to 645 of the family's 1533-position model. Lineage: Bacteria; Bacillati; Bacillota; Bacilli; Caryophanales; Bacillaceae. The record is from RNAcentral.
GCUGGCGGCGUGCCUAAUACAUGCAAGUCGAGCGAACAGAGAAGGAGCUUGCUCCUUUGACGUUAGCGGCGGACGGGUGAGUAACACGUGGGCAACCUACCUUAUAGUUUGGGAUAACUCCGGGAAACCGGGGCUAAUACCGAAUAAUCUAUUUUACUUCAUGGUGAAAUACUGAAAGACGGUUUCGGCUGUCGCUAUAAGAUGGGCCCGCGGCGCAUUAGCUAGUUGGUGAGGUAACGGCUCACCAAGGCGACGAUGCGUAGCCGACCUGAGAGGGUGAUCGGCCACACUGGGACUGAGACACGGCCCAGACUCCUACGGGAGGCAGCAGUAGGGAAUCUUCCACAAUGGGCGAAAGCCUGAUGGAGCAACGCCGCGUGAGUGAAGAAGGUUUUCGGAUCGUAAAACUCUGUUGUAAGGGAAGAACAAGUACAGUAGUAACUGGCUGUACCUUGACGGUACCUUAUUAGAAAGCCACGGCUAACUACGUGCCAGCAGCCGCGGUAAUACGUAGGUGGCAAGCGUUGUCCGGAAUUAUUGGGCGUAAAGCGCGCGCAGGCGGUCCUUUAAGUCUGUGUGAAAGCCCACGGCUCAACCGUGGAGGGUCAUUGGAAACUGGGGGACUUGA